Molecule: ribosomal RNA, 469 nt
Filed under: uncultured bacterium
Lineage: Bacteria
Description: partial 16S ribosomal RNA
Rfam family: Bacterial small subunit ribosomal RNA (bases 13-374)
Source: RNAcentral
GACGAACGCUGGCGGCGUGCUUAACACAUGCAAGUCGAACGGAAAGGCCCUGCUUUUGUGGGGUGCUCGAGUGGCGAACGGGUGAGUAACACGUGAGUAACCUGCCCUUGACUUUGGGAUAACUUCAGGAAACUGGGGCUAAUACCGGAUAGGAGCUCCUGCUGCAUGGUGGGGGUUGGAAAGUUUCGGCGGUUGGGGAUGGACUCGCGGCUUAUCAGCUUGUUGGUGGGGUAGUGGCUUACCAAGGCUUUGACGGGUAGCCGGCCUGAGAGGGUGACCGGGCACAGUGGGAGAAGAGAACGGACCAGGACCCCACGGGGGGGAAGAAGGGGGAAAUUUGACAAAGGGGGCGGGGGCUGGAUCCGGCAGCGCCGGGGGGGAAGGAGGGGCCUGGGGUUUAAAGCCCGUUUCCGCGGGGGAAGAAGGGGGGGUGCGGGAAGGGGAAAAAGAAGCACGGGCAAGCUCGGUC